CCUACGGGUGGCAGCAGUGAGGAAUAUUGGUCAAUGGACGCAAGUCUGAACCAGCCAAGUCGCGUGCAGGAAGACGGCUCUAUGAUUUGUAAACUUCUUUUAUAUGGGAGUAAACUAAGGUACGCGUUUCUGUUUGUAUGUAUCAUAUGAAUAAGGAUCGGCUAACUCCGUGCCAGCAGCCGCGGUAAUACGGAGGAUUCAAGCGUUAUCCGGAUUUAUUGGGUUUAAAGGGUGCGUAGGUGGUUAGUUAAGUCAGAGGUGAAAUUUUGUGGCUCAACCCUGGAAUUGCCUUUGAAACUGGUCGGCUUGAGUGUAGUUGAGGUAGGCGGAAUGUGUGGUGUAGCGGUGAAAUGCAUAGAUAUCAUGCAGAACACCGAUUGCGAAGGCAGCUUACCAAGCUAUAACUGACGUUGAGGCACGAAAGCGUGGGGAGCAAACAGGAUUAGAUACCCGUGUAGUC
This 460-nucleotide ribosomal RNA is filed under the name uncultured bacterium. Its description in RNAcentral is "partial 16S ribosomal RNA". It matches the Rfam family "Bacterial small subunit ribosomal RNA", at positions 338 to 795 of the family's 1533-position model. The record is from RNAcentral.